UAUCUGAGCUUUUAGUCGGA
This 20-nucleotide small nuclear RNA is filed under the name Arabidopsis thaliana (thale cress). RNAcentral's name for it is "snRNA_13202". Lineage: Eukaryota; Viridiplantae; Streptophyta; Magnoliopsida; Brassicales; Brassicaceae. The record is from RNAcentral.